AGAGACUUAGGCUAAAUUAGACCAGCGGCCUUCAAAGCCGUUAGCGGAAGUUAGAAUCUUCCAGUCCCUG
RNAcentral lists this transfer RNA (70 nucleotides) under Dentex gibbosus (pink dentex). Its description in RNAcentral is "tRNA-Trp". It matches the Rfam family "tRNA". Rfam says of the family: Transfer RNA (tRNA) molecules are approximately 80 nucleotides in length. The record is from RNAcentral. Lineage: Eukaryota; Metazoa; Chordata; Actinopteri; Spariformes; Sparidae.